CACGAUUACAAGGUGAAGUCCCAUGAUAUGCUGUCUGCAAGCUGAGGAAGAAGGAAGCCAAUAGUGGCUCAGUCAGAGUUCAGAAGCCUCAAAAGCAGGGAAGCUGAUAGUAUAGCCUUCAGUCUGUGGCUGAAGGCCUGAGAGCCCCUGGAAAACCACUGGUGUAAGUCCAAGAGUCCAGAAGCUGAAGAACCUGGAGUCUGAUGACCAAGGGCAGGAAGCAUCCAGCACGGGACAAAGAAGAAAGCCAGAAGACUCAGCAAGCCAGCUCACCUCACUUUCUUCUGCCUGCUUUGUUGUAGCUGAGCUGGCAGCCAAUUGGAUGGUGCACACUCACAUUGAGGAUUGGGAGGCUGCUGUGUAUGGAUAAGAUACCUGCUACAGCCAGCUUGACACCAUGAGAAGGACAAGAGAAUUGCAGAGACACAUAUCCAGGAUUCUGAUCCAGUUGAGGCACUGAAAUAAUCUAGAACCACCUUCAAAUUUCUUAUAAAGAGAGCUAUGCUAUUAGGAUUUAAUUAAAUGGAUGCCAACAGCAAGUAAACCAUCUCCAAAGAUGCCAUGAAGCUCUCCUAAUUGCAGGAAAAUAUCAGAGGCACUUGAUUUGAGUCUUUCAAGUACAGAAAUAACAAAUUCAGUCUCAACAGACCUAUAGUGAAUGAGAAUGAUUGUCACAUAAUGUGUAGAGAAAAUGGAAGAAUCAAAGGCAAGGCAAACCUGUACAGUGGAGACACAAAAGGUCACUGGCAGAUUUCAAAUGAUCCAAGACAUCCUCAAGACAUUGAGAUCUGCUGAUUGGAGAUCUUAGUGCCCAAGGAAGAAUGCUUGCAAAAGGAGAUGGAACAGUGUUUCUGUUGCAUUGGCCACUGAGAAUAUCUGGUUAUUUUGAAUUUGUCACAGUCUGCAGCUAAAAGGUGAACAGGAAAAGAAGAGAGAGCGGUAAUUUGAAUGAUAGCAGAUUUCACAUCAGGAACCAAUGAAGCUAGAUAAGAAUGCAACAUCUUUGAUGUCUAAAAGAAACAAAAAGCCAACCUUGAAUUCUUUAUUUAGUGAAGUUACCCUUCAGAAAUGACGGCAAAAUAAAGAUGUUUUCCAAUAAAAGACAACUAUGAGAAUUCUUCACCAGCAGUCCUAUUGUAUCAGAACAGCCAAAAGAAGUUUGUCAGCCUACAGGGAAUUAUAUCAAAGGGAAGACUUGACCUUGAAAAUGAAUGAGGAAUAUAAGAAAUUGAUAUUAUCUGGGAAGCGGCACAUGAGACUAGCAGGAGUAAAUGUUUUAUACACUCGGCCUCGCAAAAAUUCUGCAAUCACUGGGAAUCAGUAACCUGGUGAAUGAGAAAACAACGUAAUACUGAAAAAUCAAAACACCAUCCUACAGAACUUUGAUGCAUUCAGAACAAAGCAGGAAUUCACUGAAUGUCUAUCUAUCAUGUAUGCUGUUGGAGGCACCUGUCUUUCAGUUCAGAGGUUAUGGAUGUAUCUAUCAUCAGUAUUUCGGGAAGUCAGGGACCCCGAACAGAUGGACUUAAUGAAGCUGUGGCAGAAGAACAAAUUGUGAAGAUUUCAUGGACAUUUAUUAGUUCCCCAAAUUAAUACUUUUAUAAUUUCUUACACCUGUCUUUACUGCACUCUCUGAACAUAAAUUGUGAAGAUUUCAUGGACAGUUAUCACUUCCCCAGUCAACACGCUUAUAAUUUCCUAUGCCUGUCUUUACUUUAAUCUCUUAAUCCCAUCAUCUUUGUAAGCUGAAGAUGUAUGUCCCUCAGGACCCUGUGAUGAUUGCGCUAUCUGCACAAAUUGUUUGUAAAGCAUAUGUUUUUGAACAGUAUGAAAUCUGGGCAUCUAGAAAAGGAACAGGAUAACAACGAUUUUCAGGGAACAAGGGAAAUAACCAUUAGGUCUGACUGCCGGGGAGCCGGGCAGGACCAAGUCAUAUUUCUCUUAUUGUCAAAAACGGGUAAGAGAAAUAUUGCUGAAUUCUUUCCCCAGUAAGGAAUAUUAAUAAUUAACAACCCUGGGAAAAGAAUGCAUUCCUGGGGGGAGGCCUCUAAAAUGGCCGCUCUGGGAAUGUCUGCCUUAUGCAGUUGUAGAUAGGGAUGAAACAUGCCCUGGUCUCCUGCAGCGCCCCCAGGCUUGCUAGGAUUAGGAAAUCCAGACUGGUGAAUUUUAGACAGACUGGUUGCCUGCUCUCAAACCCUAUCUUCUGAAAAGAUAUUAUCAAUGACAAUGUGUGCCCGGUGGUACAUGAGACUUCCUCAGCAAUUCUAAUUUUGCCCUGAUCAUGUGAUCUCACUCUGCCCCCAUCUGCCUUGUGAUAUUUUAUUGCCCUUGAAGCAUGUGAUCUCUGUGACCCACACCCUAUUCGUACACCCCUCCCCUUUUGAAAUCCAUAAUAAAAUCUUGCUAGUUUUGUGGCUGAAGGGGCAUCACAGAACCUGCCGACAUGUGAUGUCUCCCCCAGACACCUAGCUGUAAAAUUUCUCUCUUUUGUACUCUUUCCCUUUAUUUCUUAGACCAGCUGACACUUAGGGAAAAUAGAAAAGAAACUAUGUUGAAAUAUUGGGGGCUGGUUCCCCCAAUACAUUUCGACCUUGGAGAAUCUGAUGAUUUUGUGCCUGAUGGUUUUCUUUUGUAGUAUCUUGUUGGGGUUCUCUGCAUUUCCUGAUUUGAAUGUUGGCCUCUAGGUUGGGAGAAUUUUCAUGGAUGAUAUCCUUAAACAUGUUUUCCAAGUUGCUUACUUUCUCUCCCUCUCUUU
This 2755-nucleotide long non-coding RNA is filed under the name Pan troglodytes (chimpanzee). RNAcentral describes it as "long non-coding RNA NONPTRT010890". The record is from RNAcentral. Lineage: Eukaryota; Metazoa; Chordata; Mammalia; Primates; Hominidae.